GUCACAGCCGGUGGGUGGCAGAGCGUGGAUUUCGAUACAGCUCAAAUCCUGAGCUAAGAGAAUAAAAUGAUUAUAUUUUGUUUCAUAUUUUUGUCACAGAUCAUUUUUUCCACAUGUAUGUGGUGUGUGACAACUACAUGUCUGUGUACAUGCACACUCUCAUACACACAUACACAUAUGGGUGCAUACACUGAUACAUAUACAUUCUCUUCCCUCUUGAACCGACUUCCUUCCCAAACCUCUGAUUUGUUGUGGAUGCUGUCAUGGGAUAAUCUUUGAUUCCUUCCUCCAUAUCGAUGACCUGAAUUAGGAUUCAAAAGAGUCUAUAACAUUCUAUUUGUGGAGAAAAGACUUUCAUGCAUGAAACUACAAUGCUUCUUCUAAGAGAUACAGGGCCAAAAUAAAGGAGUUUGUGGGAAAAAGAAAGAGAAAUGAGGAUUAACACCAUGGUCCUUCUCUGUUUGCAUACACACCUGGCACCUCUGCACGAAUGUAUUCUUUGUCAAAGGUAGAAAUAUUUUUGUAUUGGAACAAACCAGAACAUGUUCUUGUUGUUUUUCUGGGGGUGCUUCCCUGAUGUCCGACAGAACUGAAGUAUCAUCUUCCAUCACACCCACUUACAAAAUUGUAUGCUAUAAGCACCAAACACUAACACUCUCCCAUCAGAAGCAUCCUUCAGGCUUCAGAGUGGCCUGUGUCUGAAGUCCCUUAUCAUCCUCACUGUGUCAAUUACCCAUUAAUCAUCUCAAGUGUUCAGUUGCUGAAAGAACUCACAGGACUCACAGUUUAUACUCGCGGAAGAGUUUCAUCGCGGGCAAACCAUACUGUAUGGCCACAUGCAGAAAGGCUAGGCAUUGAGAGGGGUCCUGAUAUCAAAGCGCAGCCUUGUUUGUCCUCCCACUGUUGGGUUGCACAGUAUGCACAUGUCUCCAGGCCUCAAGCCACCACCAGUGUGUGUGUGUGAAGCAUGUUGGUACCAGGAAGAACGGGGCGAGGCGAGGUGAGGGGGACCUCUCAUAAUGUGCUGGUCACAUGCGCACUUUCUAGCUGUGCAACUAUCCUUAACCUUGGAAACUGGCCUCCCUGCUCCCCACAGGCUCCACCAAAACCAGUGCAUAUCAUAAACCCAAUGAUUAUUACUAAGCGAUGCUCACAGACUGGUAUAUCCGGCUCUGAAACAAUGGAUGGAUCCCGUGGUUACAGAAUGUCAUUUAUUGUUAGUUAAUAGAGUCCAUGGCACUGGGCAAGAGUCAGUAGCUCUGUGGAUACGCAUGUGGUCAGCAAAGACGAGCAGAAAUGAACCCAUGCUCGGUGCGGGCUGUCCUGCUUUCCUGAGCUCAGCUGCUCGAGUGUGUUUCAAGAAGAAUAAUAGUAAAAGCUGAAUGCCUCUGCCACUGAUCGCCGUCCCCUCAUGUCCUGAUUUAGUGAGAGCCACAGAGUGAUCCUGGCCACAUCUCAGAGGUCCUGGGGAGAUGGCAGUCAUCAAGUCAGACAAAAUCUCUGCUUUCAAGGAACUUAUAUUCUAGUGGAGGAAGACAGACAAUAAGCACAUUUAUAGUAUGUCGGUGGCGAAUGAAAACUAGGAAGAAAAAUAAAUCGAGGACACCAUACUGAUUCCAGCUGGGAACCAAGAUGAGUAAGAUGCAAUCCCUACCUCCAAGGAGGCCAAGACGGGAACAAGAACCUCUAGGUAUCAACUUCCACUUCUCUUCUCUGGAAAAUUUGAGGGCUGUCUCCAAACGGUGCUUCGAUUGCGAGUCAGAGGGAGAAGAAUGUUCAGGUCCCGUAAGCAGAAGCCCCCACAGAGUGUGUUUGCUGGUAACCAGCUUUUCUCAGGUUGUAAUGACUGAAGGUGAAUGAAGGAUUGAAGGCUUCGGGUGGAGAAUUAUCAAUCAGAUAGGGUGAAUAAACUCAAUUCCUCCAAAACACGAGCUAUUUCAAAGGUCACUGUCUUAAGAAAAAAUGUUGAUCAAUGGUCUCUUUCAGGAAAUCAACUCCGUUGAAAUAUAAUUUAUACUGCUUUUUACUUUUGUCUUCUUUCAGUGAAUUAAACUAUAGCCACCCUUAUUUCUUGAUUUGCAUUUCUCCUUAAUUAUUCUGAGCUAAGUUCUACCCUGCAGAGCUCCAGAAAAUGGAUAAAUUAUGCAUUUGAGUGUUGAACAGCAGCGGCAGACACCUACACACCAAACCCUGGCUGUGUGGGAUGCUGCCAUUUUCCCCAAGUCAUUUCAGGUCAGAAACACCUCUGUUCCCAAAGAAUAGCAUUUAGGGCCCCCACACAAGGUCUUUGUACGUACCGUAUAAUGUGAGAAUCAAGGGGCAGUAUAUUGUUCUGUACCCUUCCAAGAAUAAGUUCAAGGCUGUUUUCCUGACCCUACAGAGGCAU
Non-coding RNA from Equus caballus (horse), 2386 nucleotides. The record is from RefSeq and is a predicted model, not a curated record. Lineage: Eukaryota; Metazoa; Chordata; Mammalia; Perissodactyla; Equidae.